RNAcentral lists this ribosomal RNA (548 nucleotides) under Rhipicephalus microplus (southern cattle tick). RNAcentral describes it as "SSU rRNA". It matches the Rfam family "Eukaryotic small subunit ribosomal RNA", at positions 293 to 845 of the family's 1831-position model. The record is from RNAcentral. Lineage: Eukaryota; Metazoa; Arthropoda; Arachnida; Ixodida; Ixodidae.
UUUCUUUCAAGUGUCUGCCUUAUCAACUUUCGAUGGUAGGUUACUUGCUUACCAUGGUUGUUACGGGUAACGGAGAAUCAGGGUUCGAUUCCGGAGAGGGAGCCUGAGAAACGGCUACCACAUCCAAGGAAGGCAGCAGGCGCGCAAAUUACCCACUCCCGGCACGGGGAGGUAGUGACGAAAAAUAACAAUACGGGACUCUUUUGAGGCCCCGUAAUUGAAAUGAGUACACUCUAAAUCCUUUAACGAGGAUCAAUUGGAGGGCAAGUCUGGUGCCAGCAGCCGCGGUAAUUCCAGCUCCAAUAGCGUAUACUAAAGCUGCUGCGGUUAAAAAGCUCGUAGUGGAUCUCAGUUCCAGACGAGUAGUGCAUCUACCCGAUGCGACGGCUCGGACUGAACAUCAUGCCGGUUCUUUCUUGGUGCACUUCAUUGUGUGCCUCGAGAUGGCCGGUGCUUUUACUUUGAAAAAAUUAGAGUGCUCAACGCAGGCGAGUCGCCUGAAUAAACUUGCAUGGAAUAAUAGAACAAGACCUCGUUUCUGUUCUGUU